GGGGAGGUACCCAAGUGGCCAAAGGGAGCUGACUGUAAAUCAGCCGGUAGACACCUUCGGAGGUUCGAAUCCCCCCCUCCCCACCA
RNAcentral lists this transfer RNA (86 nucleotides) under Dethiobacter sp. Its description in RNAcentral is "tRNA-Tyr". It matches the Rfam family "tRNA". Rfam says of the family: Transfer RNA (tRNA) molecules are approximately 80 nucleotides in length. The record is from RNAcentral. Lineage: Bacteria; Bacillati; Bacillota; Dethiobacteria; Dethiobacterales; Dethiobacteraceae. RNAcentral also lists the same sequence under 2 other names.